This 258-nucleotide ribosomal RNA is filed under the name uncultured bacterium. RNAcentral describes it as "partial 16S ribosomal RNA". It matches the Rfam family "Bacterial small subunit ribosomal RNA", at positions 1234 to 1500 of the family's 1533-position model. The record is from RNAcentral.
CAGGUACAGAGGGAUGCUACCGGGCGACCAGAUGCGGAUCUCGAAAGCCUGUCCCAGUUCGGACUGGAGUCUGCAACCCGACUCCACGAAGUUGGAUUCGCUAGUAAUCGCGCAUCAGCCAUGGCGCGGUGAAUACGUUCCCGGGCCUUGUACACACCGCCCGUCAAGCCAUGGGAGCCGGGGGCGCCUGAAGUCCGGGACCGCGAGGACCGGCCUAGGGCGAAACUGGUAACUGGGGCUAAGUCGUAACAAGGUACC